GCCUUAUAAUUCUCCAGAGGCCUGGUAAUGAAGUAAUCAUUUGAUUCAGGUGUGUUGACCCAUGGUGUUAUCUAAAACCUGCAGGACACCGGCCCUUGAGUUCGACUCCCCAGGUUAAAGGGGUUAUAUGUCACUGUACUGAUAUACAGUUGACUUGUUGGUUCCCUUUAACUUCAUAUUUACCAAUUCUGCAAUAUAAGAGAGCAGCAGGGCCUCAGCUGCUGUUCGUUCCAAACCUCAGGGAUCAACUUUGAGUCCAUCAGCACACACCUGGAUGCAAAGGACGGUCCUCUACACUGCACUGGGAUUCGAACUGGCAGCUUUACUUGGCUUUGCAGUUUUACUGGUUAAUCGCUUCUGUGCCUUAAGAUGUCGUACUCGUCUGAGAAGAUACCAAAAUUUCAUUUAAAUGUUUAACAGGAGCUUUGUGGUGUCGUUUUGCACCAAGAGAAACUAAAAGCAGGACUUGGAGGGAGCCAUCAGGCAGAAAACUUGAGGUUCAAGAAUCCAAGACUGUGUAAUGUAUGUUUGAAGUAUCAGAAAGCCUCAUUGUGAUAUGAAGUGCAUAUUAUGUGCUCAUGUAUCACUGCAGAAAGGAUGAUGGGGUAGGUUAUGCUCCCAUGUGUGUCCUGUUUAUUAUUUCUAAGCUGGACGCUCAUCCUGCCACCAAAUGGGAACUUUAAAAAAAAACAAAAGCAAACUUUUGCUCUCUUCAGUUUGUACGGCCUUUAAUCCACCAGAGGAUUUAGCCUAUAAAUGUGCCGUUUUCCUAUCAGCUGUAUUCAGUGGUUAAACUUUAACAAGUGCCUGGACUCAACAAGACCAAAGAAGGAAAUGUGCUGUUAUUUAAUCCUGACAGUAGGGACUGGACUUUGUUACGGCAGAUAAGACACUUCAUUUGCUUCCUGUUUCCUCAACGUGUAUGUGUUCCUUUAAGGAGCACACUGUCACGACCCUUGUUUUUACAAACAGCAAUAAACUUUAUUAAUAACAGAGUUUACAAGAUUUGCAAUAACAAACAUGCAGUGAGAAAAUAGUCCUUUCUUUAUGCAUAUACAAGAGUUAGGCUUUGUUAUUAGACUUUGAUACAUGCAUAUUCCAUAAACAAGGGUCUCAGGUGAGCAGAUGGUUCAGUGUUUCAUUGCUUAUGGUUUUAAAAAUACUUUAGAAGCAGAAAUAAAAAAGUGUAAAAUUCUGCUGCAGGUUUCUGUUCCUAAAAUGUAACUUAUGGUUUCAACAAACUCAAACUAAAGCUGUGGCAGCAGCCUGCUGCUGCUGCUUU
Molecule: long non-coding RNA, 1282 nt
Organism: Haplochromis burtoni (Burton's mouthbrooder)
Lineage: Eukaryota; Metazoa; Chordata; Actinopteri; Cichliformes; Cichlidae
Exons: 2
Source: RefSeq, a predicted model, not a curated record